GCCCCUAAGGCGAGGCAGAGAUGCGUAGCUGAUGGGAAACAGGUUAAUAUUCCUGUACCGAUCUAUAGUGCGAUGUGGGGACGGAGAAGGUUAGCUCAGCCAACUGUUGGAUAUGUUGGUUCAAGCCUGUAGUCGUGCCUGGUAGGCAAAUCCGCCGGGCUUAGAUGAGGGGUGAUAACGAGGCUGCUUGCAGCCGAAGUGAGUGAUACCCUGCUUCCAGGAAAAGCCACUAAGCUUC
RNAcentral lists this ribosomal RNA (238 nucleotides) under Ditylum brightwellii. Its description in RNAcentral is "partial Bacterial large subunit ribosomal RNA". It matches the Rfam family "Bacterial large subunit ribosomal RNA", at positions 1387 to 1629 of the family's 2925-position model. Lineage: Eukaryota; Bacillariophyta; Thalassiosirophyceae; Lithodesmiales; Lithodesmiaceae. The record is from RNAcentral.